UAACCUGCCCAANAGAUCGGGAUAACACCUGGAAACAGAUGCUAAUACCGGAUAACAACAGAUGAUGCCUAUCAACUGUUUAAAAGAUGGUUCUGCUAUCACUCUUGGAUGGACCUGCGGUGCAUUAGCUAGUUGGUAGGGUAACGGCCUACCAAGGCGAUGAUGCAUAGCCGAGUUGAGAGACUGAUCGGCCACAUUGGGACUGAGACACGGCCCAAACUCCUACGGGAGGCAGCAGC
RNAcentral lists this ribosomal RNA (239 nucleotides) under uncultured Lactobacillus sp. RNAcentral's name for it is "partial 16S ribosomal RNA". It matches the Rfam family "Bacterial small subunit ribosomal RNA", at positions 122 to 355 of the family's 1533-position model. Lineage: Bacteria; Bacillati; Bacillota; Bacilli; Lactobacillales; Lactobacillaceae. The record is from RNAcentral.